GACGAACGCUGGCGGCGUGCCUAAUACAUGCAAGUCGAACGCAGUGGGGACGGGUGAGUAACACGUGGGUAACCUCCCAUCAGAGGGGAUAACACUUGGCAACAGGUGCUAAACCGAUCCUGAUGGAUGGACCCGCGUUGCAUUAGCUAGUUGGUGGGGUAACUGCUCACCAAGUCCACGAUGCGUAGCCGACCUGAGAGGGUGAUCGGCCACACUGUGACUGAGACACGGCCCAGACUCCGACGGGAGGCAGAAGUAGGGAAGCUUCGGCAAUGGACGAAAGCCUGACCGAGCAAAGCCGCGUGAGUGAAGAAGGUUUUCGGAUCGUAAAACGCUGUUGUUAGAGAAGCGGUAUCUAACCAGAAAGCCACGGCUAACUACGUGCCAGCAGCCGCGGUAAUAC
RNAcentral lists this ribosomal RNA (403 nucleotides) under uncultured bacterium. RNAcentral describes it as "partial 16S ribosomal RNA". It matches the Rfam family "Bacterial small subunit ribosomal RNA", at positions 28 to 526 of the family's 1533-position model. The record is from RNAcentral.